Pantherophis guttatus is the source of this 384-nucleotide non-coding RNA. Lineage: Eukaryota; Metazoa; Chordata; Lepidosauria; Squamata; Colubridae. The record is from RefSeq and is a predicted model, not a curated record.
CUGUAAUUUAGUCGGUUCCACACAGCGCAGUCCAAGUUAUUUCCUCUUGGUUGUUGUUGUUGCUUCGAUUGCUUCCUUCGUUUGCCUUCCCCUCCCUUCUCUCCAAACGCUUCGUUGGCUUCCUUCGUUGGGGUAGAGAUGUUAAAACAGUUGUUCCCUUCUGAACCGAAACUGCCAUUUGAUUAUCCUUCACCCAAAGUGGAGAGAAUUAACUCCAAUUUACAAGACAUUUUCCUGCUCGGAGGAAAGACUUGCAACCUGCUGUAAAUAGUCUCUCUAGAGGAGUCUGUACAGAAGAGAAGAUGCUCCAGUAGAGAUUAGGAGGAAAUCCCAGCCCACCUGCAUAAAUCUCCAUUGUCUUUGUUAAGACACUGCACUCUUCUG